This 84-nucleotide transfer RNA is filed under the name Candidatus Latescibacterota bacterium. RNAcentral's name for it is "tRNA-Leu". It matches the Rfam family "tRNA". From Rfam's summary of the family: Transfer RNA (tRNA) molecules are approximately 80 nucleotides in length. Their secondary structure includes four short double-helical elements and three loops (D, anti-codon, and T loops). Further hydrogen bonds mediate the characteristic L-shaped molecular structure. tRNAs have two regions of fundamental functional importance: the anti-codon, which is responsible for specific mRNA codon recognition, and the 3' end, to which the tRNAs corresponding amino acid is attached (by aminoacyl-tRNA synthetases). tRNAs cope with the degeneracy of the genetic code in two manners: having more than one tRNA (with a specific anti-codon) for a particular amino acid; and 'wobble' base-pairing, i.e. permitting non-standard base-pairing at the 3rd anti-codon position. The record is from RNAcentral. Lineage: Bacteria; Pseudomonadati; Candidatus Latescibacterota.
GCGAAAGUGGCGAAAUUGGCAGACGCGCCAGACUUAGGAUCUGGUGCCCGCAAGGGCUUGGGGGUUCGAGUCCCCCCUUUCGCA